UAAUACGUAGGGUGCGAGCGUUAAUCGGAAUUACUGGGCGUAAAGCGUGCGCAGGCGGUUUUGUAAGACAGAGGUGAAAUCCCCGGGCUCAACCUGGGAACUGCCUUUGUGACUGCAAGGCUGGAGUGCGGCAGAGGGGGAUGGAAUUCCGCGUGUAGCAGUGAAAUGCGUAGAUAUGCGGAGGAACACCGAUGGCGAAGGCAAUCCCCUGGGCCUGCACUGACGCUCAUGCACGAAAGCGUGGGGAGCAAACAGGAUUAGAUACCCUGGUAGUCCACGCCCUAAACGAUGUCAACUGGUUGUUGGGGAUUAAUUUUCUCAGUAACGAAGCUAACGCGUGAAGUUGACCGCCUGGGGAGUACGGCCGCAAGGUUGAAACUCAAAUGAAUUGACGG
This 395-nucleotide ribosomal RNA is filed under the name uncultured bacterium. RNAcentral describes it as "bacterial SSU rRNA". It matches the Rfam family "Bacterial small subunit ribosomal RNA", at positions 521 to 916 of the family's 1533-position model. The record is from RNAcentral.